AACCGGAUUAGAUACCCUGGUAGUCCAUGCCGUAAACGAUGAGUGCUAAGUGUUGGAGGGUUUCCGCCCUUCAGUGCUGCAGCUAACGCAUUAAGCACUCCGCCUGGGGAGUACGACCGCAAGGUUGAAACUCAAAGGAAUUGACGGGGGCCCGCACAAGCGGUGGAGCAUGUGGUUUAAUUCGAUGCUACGCGAAGAACCUUACCAGGUCUUGACAUCUUCUGCCAACCUAAGAGAUUAGGCGUUCCCUUCGGGGACAGAAUGACAGGUGGUGCAUGGUUGUCGUCAGCUCGUGUCGUGAGAUGUUGGGUUAAGUCCCGCAACGAGCGCAACCCUUAUUGUUAGUUGCCAGCAUUUAGUUGGGCACUCUAGCAAGACUGCCGGUGACAAACCGGAGGAAGGUGGGGAUGACGUCAAAUCAUCAUGCCCCUUAUGACCUGGGCUACACACGUGCUACAAUGGACGGUACAACGAGUCGCGAAACCGCGAGGUCAAGCUAAUCUCUUAAAGCCGUUCUCAGUUCGGAUUGUAGGCUGCAACUCGCCUACAUGAAGUUGGAAUCGCUAGUAAUCGUGGAUCAGCAUGCCACGGUGAAUACGUUCCCGGGCCUUGUACACACCGCCCGUCACACCAUGAGAGUUUGUAACACCCAAAGCCGGUGANGUAACCUUCGGGAACCAACCGUCUAANGNGGGACAGAUGAUUAGGGUGAAGUCGUAACAA
Molecule: ribosomal RNA, 723 nt
Filed under: uncultured Lactobacillus sp.
Lineage: Bacteria; Bacillati; Bacillota; Bacilli; Lactobacillales; Lactobacillaceae
Description: bacterial SSU rRNA
Rfam family: Bacterial small subunit ribosomal RNA
Source: RNAcentral